This 701-nucleotide ribosomal RNA is filed under the name uncultured bacterium. Its description in RNAcentral is "bacterial SSU rRNA". It matches the Rfam family "Bacterial small subunit ribosomal RNA", at positions 139 to 851 of the family's 1533-position model. The record is from RNAcentral.
CGGGAUACCCGAGGGAAACUUCGGUUAAUACGGUAUAAGACCACACUACCGCAUGGUAGAGGGGUAAAAGGGGCAACCUGGUAUGAGAUGGACUCGCGUCGCAUUAGCUAGUUGGUGAGGUAACGGCCCACCAAGGCGACGAUGCGUAGCCGACCUGAGAGGGUGAUCGGCCACAUUGGGACUGAGAUACGGCCCAGACUCCUACGGGAGGCAGCAGUGGGGAAUAUUGGGCAAUGGAGGAAACUCUGACCCAGCAAUGCCGCGUGAAUGAAGAAGGUCUUCGGAUUGUAAAGUUCUUUAGUCAGGGAAGAAGUCAAUGACGGUACCUGAAGAAUAAGCUCCGGCUAACUACGUGCCAGCAGCCGCGGUAAUACGUAGGGAGCAAGCGUUGUUCGGAAUGACUGGGCGUAAAGGGUGCGUAGGCGAUUGUACAAGUUAGAAGUGAAAUACCCAGGGCUUAACUCGGGUGCUGCUUCUAAAACUGUAUGACUUGAGUGCAGUAGAGGUUAGUGGAAUUCCUAGCGUAGCGGUGGAGUGCGUAGAUAUUAGGAGGAACACCAGAGGCGAAGGCGGCUAACUGGACUGCAACUGACGCUGAGGCACGAAAGUGUGGGGAGCAAACAGGAUUAGAUACCCUGGUAGUCCACACUGUAAACGAUGGAUAAUAGAUGUAGGAGGUAUCGACUCCUUCUGCGUCGCAG